AACGAACGCUGGCGGCAGGCUUAACACAUGCAAGUCGAACGCACCGCAAGGUGAGUGGCAGACGGGUGAGGAACACGUGGGAACAUCCCCUUCAGUUCGGAAUAACUCAGGGAAACUUGAGCUAAUACCGGAUACGUCCGUGAGGAGAAAGAUUUAUCGCUGAAGGAAUGGCCCGCGUCUGAUUAGCUAGUUGGUGAGGUAACGGCUCACCAAGGCUACGAUCAGUAGCUGAUCUGAGAGGAUGAUCAGCCACAUUGGGACUGAGACACGGCCCAAACUCCUACGGGAGGCAGCAGUGGGGAAUAUUGGACAAUGGGCGCAAGCCUGAUCCAGCCAUGCCGCGUGAGUGAUGAAGGCCUUCGGGUUGUAAAGCUCUUUUGUCCGGGAAGAUAAUAACAGUACCUGGAGAAUAAGCUCCGGCUAACUCCGUGCCAGCAGCCGCGGUAA
RNAcentral lists this ribosomal RNA (447 nucleotides) under uncultured bacterium. RNAcentral's name for it is "partial 16S ribosomal RNA". It matches the Rfam family "Bacterial small subunit ribosomal RNA", at positions 29 to 523 of the family's 1533-position model. The record is from RNAcentral.